UGGGGAAUAUUGCACAAUGGGGAAGCCCUGAUGCAGCAACGCCGCGUGAGCGAUGAAGGCCUUCGGGUCGUAAAGCUCUGUCCUCAAGGAAGAUAAUGACGGUACUCGAGGAGGAAGCCCCGGCUAACUACGUGCCAGCAGCCGCGGUAAUACGUAGGGGGCUAGCGUUAUCCGGAAUUACUGGGCGUAAAGGGUGCGUAGGUGGUUUCUUAAGUCAGAGGUGAAAGGCUACGGCUCAACCGUAGUAAGCCUUUGAAACUGGGAAACUUGAGUGCAGGAGAGGAGAGUGGAAUUCCUAGUGUAGCGGUGAAAUGCGUAGAUAUUAGGAGGAACACCAGUUGCGAAGGCGGCUCUCUGGACUGUAACUGACACUGAGGCACGAAAGCGUGGGGAGCAAACAGGAUUAGAUACCC
RNAcentral lists this ribosomal RNA (413 nucleotides) under uncultured bacterium. Its description in RNAcentral is "bacterial SSU rRNA". It matches the Rfam family "Bacterial small subunit ribosomal RNA", at positions 355 to 787 of the family's 1533-position model. The record is from RNAcentral.